CCUGGCGGCCUUAGCGCGGUGGUCCCACCUGACCCCAUGCCGAACUCAGAAGUGAAACGCCGUAGCGCCGAUGGUAGUGUGGGGUCUCCCCAUGCGAGAGUAGGGAACUGCCAGAC
Molecule: ribosomal RNA, 116 nt
Filed under: Escherichia coli
Lineage: Bacteria; Pseudomonadati; Pseudomonadota; Gammaproteobacteria; Enterobacterales; Enterobacteriaceae
Also listed under: 19 other names
Source: RNAcentral